CGAUGGAGGGGGAUAACUACUGGAAACGGUAGCUAAUACCGCAUAACGUCGCAAGACCAAAGAGGGGGACCUUGGGCCUCUUGCCAUCGGAUGUGCCCAGAUGGGAUUAGCUAGUAGGUGGGGUAAAGGCUCACCUAGGCGACGAUCCCUAGCUGGUCUGAGAGGAUGACCAGCCACACUGGAACUGAGACACGGUCCAG
This 200-nucleotide ribosomal RNA is filed under the name uncultured bacterium. RNAcentral describes it as "partial 16S ribosomal RNA". It matches the Rfam family "Bacterial small subunit ribosomal RNA", at positions 131 to 334 of the family's 1533-position model. The record is from RNAcentral.